RNAcentral lists this transfer RNA (73 nucleotides) under bacterium (Candidatus Moisslbacteria) CG_4_9_14_0_8_um_filter_36_20. RNAcentral's name for it is "tRNA-Arg". It matches the Rfam family "tRNA". From Rfam's summary of the family: Transfer RNA (tRNA) molecules are approximately 80 nucleotides in length. Their secondary structure includes four short double-helical elements and three loops (D, anti-codon, and T loops). Further hydrogen bonds mediate the characteristic L-shaped molecular structure. tRNAs have two regions of fundamental functional importance: the anti-codon, which is responsible for specific mRNA codon recognition, and the 3' end, to which the tRNAs corresponding amino acid is attached (by aminoacyl-tRNA synthetases). tRNAs cope with the degeneracy of the genetic code in two manners: having more than one tRNA (with a specific anti-codon) for a particular amino acid; and 'wobble' base-pairing, i.e. permitting non-standard base-pairing at the 3rd anti-codon position. The record is from RNAcentral. RNAcentral also lists the same sequence under 2 other names.
GCCCCUGUAGCUUAAUGGAUUGAGCAGCUCUCUCCUAAGGAGAAGAUUAGAGGUUCGACUCCUCUCAGGGGCA